This 253-nucleotide ribosomal RNA is filed under the name Abditibacterium sp. Its description in RNAcentral is "partial 16S ribosomal RNA". It matches the Rfam family "Bacterial small subunit ribosomal RNA", at positions 524 to 776 of the family's 1533-position model. RNAcentral also lists the same sequence under 2 other names. The record is from RNAcentral. Lineage: Bacteria; Pseudomonadati; Abditibacteriota; Abditibacteriia; Abditibacteriales; Abditibacteriaceae.
UACGUAGGUGGCAAGCGUUGUCCGGAUUUACUGGGCGUAAAGCGUGUGUAGGCGGACCUUUAAGUAGAAAGUGAAAGGUUGGUGCUCAACACCAACAUUGCUCUCUAUACUGGAGGUCUUGAGUGUCGGAGAGGAAGAUGGAACUGCACGUGUAGCGGUGAAAUGCGUUGAGAUGUGCAGGAACACCAAUGGCGAAGGCAAUCUUCUGGACGAAAACUGACGCUGAGACACGAAAGCCAAGGUAGCAAACAGG